This 279-nucleotide ribosomal RNA is filed under the name uncultured bacterium. RNAcentral's name for it is "partial 16S ribosomal RNA". It matches the Rfam family "Bacterial small subunit ribosomal RNA", at positions 506 to 784 of the family's 1533-position model. The record is from RNAcentral.
UGCCAGCAGCCGCGGUAAUACGAAGGGUGCUAGCGUUGUUCGGAAUUACUGGGCGUAAAGCGCACGUAGGCGGACUAUUAAGUCAGGGGUGAAAUCCCGGGGCUCAACCCCGGAACUGCCUCUGAUACUGGUAGUCUUGAGUCCGAGAGAGGUUAGUGGAAUUCCCAGUGUAGAGGUGAAAUUCGUAGAUAUUGGGAAGAACACCAGUGGCGAAGGCGGCUAACUGGCUCGGUACUGACGCUGAGAUGCGAAAGCGUGGGGAGCAAACAGGAUUAGAUA